RNAcentral lists this ribosomal RNA (492 nucleotides) under uncultured bacterium. RNAcentral's name for it is "partial 16S ribosomal RNA". It matches the Rfam family "Bacterial small subunit ribosomal RNA", at positions 29 to 507 of the family's 1533-position model. The record is from RNAcentral.
AGUGAACGCUGGCGGUAGGCCUAACACAUGCCAGUCGAACGGCAGCACAGUAAGAGCUUGCUCUUACGGGUGGCGAGUGGCGGACGGGUGAGGAAUACAUCGGAAUCUACUUUUUCGUGGGGGAUAACGUAGGGAAACUUACGCUAAUACCGCAUACGACCUACGGGUGAAAGCAGGGGAUCUUCGGACCUUGCGCGAUUGAAUGAGCCGAUGUCGGAUUAGCUAGUUGGCGGGGUAAAGGCCCACCAAGGCGACGAUCCGUAGCUGGUCUGAGAGGAUGAUCGGCCACACGAGAACUUAGACACCGACCAUGGGCCUAAGAGAGGCAGCAGAGGGGAAUAUGGGACAAUGGGCGCAAGCCUGACCCAGCCAGACCGCGUGGGUUACGAAGGCCUUGGGGUCGUAAAGCCCUUUUGUUGGGAAAGAAAAGCAGCAGGUUAAUACCCCGCUGUUCUGACGGUACCCAAUGAAUAAGCACCGGCUAACUUCGUG